Molecule: ribosomal RNA, 375 nt
Filed under: uncultured bacterium
Lineage: Bacteria
Description: bacterial SSU rRNA
Rfam family: Bacterial small subunit ribosomal RNA
Source: RNAcentral
UAAUACGUAGGGUGCAAGCGUUAAUCGGAAUUACUGGGCGUAAAGCGUGCGCAGGCGGUUGUGCAAGACAGGUGUGAAAUCCCCGGGCUUAACCUGGGAACUGCACUUGUGACUGCACGGCUGGAGUACGGCAGAGGGGGAUGGAAUUCCGCGUGUAGCAGUGAAAUGCGUAGAUAUGCGGAGGAACACCGAUGGCGAAGGCAGUCCCCUGGGCCUGUACUGACGCUCAUGCACGAAAGCGUGGGGAGCAAACAGGAUUAGAUACCCUGGUAGUCCACGCCCUAAACGAUGUCAACUGGUUGUUGGGAGGGUUUCUUCUCAGUAACGUAGCUAACGCGUGAAGUUGACCGCCUGGGGAGUACGGCCGCAAGGUUG